GGCGGAUUUCAAAACUCUUCCGCGAAGGACUCAGGUUUCCUGGUCACAGAGGAGAGAGGACGAAGGAGUCAAGGAGAGGACAGUCUUUUUCUCAAG
Molecule: non-coding RNA, 96 nt
Organism: Salvelinus sp. IW2-2015
Lineage: Eukaryota; Metazoa; Chordata; Actinopteri; Salmoniformes; Salmonidae
Source: RefSeq, a predicted model, not a curated record